ACUAAGACAUGCUAGUCGAGCGUCUUCAGGCUAUGUUGAGGACGCGGCGUACGGCUCAGUAACACGUGGCCAACCUACCCUUAGGACGGAGACAACCCCGGGAAACUGGGGCUAAUCCCCGAUAGGUGAGGAGGCCUGGAAUGGUCUCUCACCCAAAGGACGUUGAAGCCAUGCUUUUCAGCGUUGCCUAAGGAUGGAGCCGCGGCCGAUCAGGUUGUUGGUGAGGUAAUGGCUCACCAAGCCUAUAACCGGUACGGGCCAUGAGAGUGGGAGCCCGGAGAUGGGCACUGAGACAAGGGCCCAGGCCCUACGGGGCGCAGCAGUUGCGAAACCUCCACAAUGCACGAAAGUGCGAUGGGGCUAACCCGAGUGCCGUCCGCUGAGGAGGGCUUUUCUCCGCUGUAAGGAGGCGGAGGAAUAAGGAGAGGGCAAGACUGGUGUCAGCCGCCGCGGUAAUACCAGCUCUCCGAGUGGUAGGGACGAUUAUUGGGUCUAAAGCGUUCGUAGCCGGCUUGGCAAGUCUCUCGUUAAAUCCAGUGACCUAAUCGCUGGGCUGCGGGAGAUACUGUCAGGCUUGGGAGCGGAAGAGGUCGACGGUAUUCUCGGGGUAGGGG
RNAcentral lists this ribosomal RNA (614 nucleotides) under uncultured archaeon. Its description in RNAcentral is "bacterial SSU rRNA". It matches the Rfam family "Archaeal small subunit ribosomal RNA", at positions 43 to 632 of the family's 1478-position model. The record is from RNAcentral.